AGAGUUUGAUCCUGGCUCAGGAUAAACGCUAGCGGCGUGCCUUAUGCAUGCAAGUCGAACGGUCCCGAUUUAUCGGGAUAGUGGCGAACGGGUGAGUAACGCGUGAGUAACCUGCCCUCAAGUAGGGGAUAACUCUGAGAAAUUGGAGCUAAUACCGUAUGUGGGGAUGGAGUUAGUGCUUCAUCACUAAAGCCUUAGGGCGCUUGAGGAUGGGCUUGCGUCCGAUUAGUUAGUUGGUAGGGUAAUGGCUUACCAAGGCGAUGAUCGGUAGCUGGUUUGAGAGGACGGUCAGCCACACUGGGAUUGAGAUACGGCCCAGACUCCUACGGGAGGCAGCAGCAAGGAAUAUUGUGCAAUGGGCGAAAGCCUGACACAGCGACGUCGCGUGGGGGAAGAAGGCUCUCGGGUUGUAAACCCCUUUUCUCAGGGAAGAAUAAUGACGGUACCUGAGGAAGAAGUCACGGCUAACUACGUGCCAGCAGCCGCGGUAAUACGUAGGUGGCGAGCGUUAUCCGGAUUUACUGGGUGUAAAGAGGGUGUAGGCGGUUCUUCAAGUCGGAUGUAAAAUCUCCCGGCUCAACUGGGAGGGAUCAUUCGAUACUGUUGGGCUAGAGUGCAGCAGGGGGAGAUGGAAUUCCCGGUGUAGUGGUGAAAUGCGUAGAUAUCGGGAGGAACACCAGUGGCGAAAGCGGUCUCCUGGGCUGUUACUGACGCUGAGACCCGAAAGCGUGGGGAGCGAACAGGAUUAGAUACCCUGGUAGUCCACGCAGUAAACGAUGGACACUAGGUAUGGGGGGUAUCGACCCCCUCCGCGCCGAAGUUAACGCUUUAAGUGUCCCGCCUGGGGAGUACGGUCGCAAGACUAAACUCAAAGGAAUUGACGGGGCCCCGCCCAAGCAGCGGAGCGUGUUGGUUUAAUUCGAUGCAACCCGAGAACCUUACCAAGGCUUGACAUGUCGAGUAGCGACCCGAAAGGUGAGCGACCUGUAAAUCAGGAGCCGUCCACAGGUGCUGCAUGCUGUCGUCAGCCUCGUGCCGUGAGGUGUUAGUUAGGUCCUGUACGAAGCGCCACCCCUGUGCCAGGUAAUUCUCCUGGCGAGACCUGCCCCUGCCAACGGGAGAAGUAGUAUGACGUCCAGUCGACCUGGCCCUCUAUGC
RNAcentral lists this ribosomal RNA (1158 nucleotides) under uncultured bacterium. Its description in RNAcentral is "bacterial SSU rRNA". It matches the Rfam family "Bacterial small subunit ribosomal RNA", at positions 8 to 1207 of the family's 1533-position model. The record is from RNAcentral.